This 253-nucleotide ribosomal RNA is filed under the name uncultured bacterium. RNAcentral's name for it is "partial 16S ribosomal RNA". It matches the Rfam family "Bacterial small subunit ribosomal RNA", at positions 524 to 776 of the family's 1533-position model. The record is from RNAcentral.
UACGGGGGGGGCAAGCGUUGUUCGGAAUUACUGGGCGUAAAGGGCGUGCAGGCGGCCAACUAAGUCCGACGUGAAAUCCCCAGGCUUAACCUGGGAACUGCGUCGGAUACUGGAUGGCUUGAAUCCGGGAGAGGGAUGCAGAAUUCCAGGUGUAGCGGUGAAAUGCGUAGAUAUCUGGAGGAACACCGGUGGCGAAGGCGGCAUCCUGGACCGGUAUUGACGCUGAGGCGCGAAAGCCAGGGGAGCAAACGGG